CUUCAAUUUUUUAAAAAAAAUAACCAGAAGGCCUAGAGCUUAGAUAUCUGACUUGUAGCAUUGCCUAGUGGACCUCUACAAAAUUUGUUCAAAUCAUGACCCCCGGGGUCAAAAUUGACCCUGCCCCAGGGGUCACUUGAUUUUACAUAGGAAAAUCUUCAAAAUUUUUCUAAAAAUAAACCAGAAGGCCUAGAUCUUAGAUAUUUGACAUAUAGCAUUGCCUAGUAGACUUCUACAAAAUUGUUCAAAUCAUGACCCCCAGGGUUAAAUUGACCCCGCCCCAUGGGGUUACUUGAUUGUACAUAGAAAAAUCUUCAAAAUUUUCUAAAAAUAAACCAGAAGGCGUAGAGCUUAGAUAUUUGACAUGUAGCAUUGCCUAGUGAACCUCUACAAAAUUUGUUGAAAUCUUGACCCCCAGGGUCAAAUUGACACAGCCCCAGGGGUUACUUGAUUGUACAUAGGGAAAUCUUCAUAAAUUUGCUAAAAAUAAACCAGAAGGCCUAGAUCGUAGAUAUUUGAUAUGUAAUAUUGCCUAGUAGACUUCUACAAACUUUGUUCAAAUCAUAACCCCCGGGUAAAAUUGGCCCCGCUCCAGGGGUUACUUGAUUGUACAUUGGAAAAUCUUCCAAAAAAUUUCUACAAAUCAUCAGUUUGACAUUUGAAACAUGUAGCUCAUAUUACUCAGGUGAGUGCUCCAGGGUCAACAUGACCCUCUUGUUGUAUGUAAGCUGGUAUCUCACUACUCACUCAUUGGAAUGGAUUGAAACUUAACACACUUGUUCUAUGUGAUGAUCUGACAUGCAUUUUACAGGUUCCAUAAACCUGUUAUGCAUUUUUACAAAGUUAUGCCCAUUUUUUUGACUUAGCCAUUUUUGGGUAAGUUUUAAGCUGGUAGCUCAGUACCCACUUAUGGGAAUGUAUUGAACUUCACACACUUAUGCACUGUGGUGAGUUGACAUUCAUUUUACAGGUUACAGAACCAUGUUUUGCAUUUUUACAAAACUAUGCCCCUUUUUCAACAUUCAUAUUUAUUCAAUUGACAAGGUUGUUGAAUAAUACAGCGUUGCUGUCUUCCGACAGCUCUUGGUUUGUUUUUUUGGCCUUAAGUAAAGAAGUGGAUGAAAUUGGGAGCAGAAUUUCAUUGUACAUGUAUGGCUCCAAAAAUACUAGAUCAGAAUGAUGUCAACAUAACCGUGUUUUUUAUAAGAACAUUCCUCUGAAUAAUUUAUGAGUGCAUAGACUUCUAGUAAGUUAUUCUGCAUAAUAUCUGAGUAUGAAAUUAAGUCUUAUCAUUUUGAUUCUGUAGUGCCUUUUAUAUGAAAUAGUGGAACAAAUGUGAUAACCCACAUAUGAACAAGCUUUAUGUGCAGAUGACCAAAAAGGAAGGAACUUUUGCUGUGACUAUUUUUACCGCAAUCAUGGCCCUUUGAUAGUUUUGCUAUAUAGAAUAUAGAGAAAAAUCUUGUGUCCAACUCCUCGAACCCUAUUGAAGGGAUAUGCUUGAAAGUUUCACAUAUGAAGGACCUUGAAUUUUAAGGUUACAUAAAUAAUAUUCUUUUUCUAUGGCUUUUUUUUCUAGAAUUAUGGCCCUUUCUAAAUUUCACAGUAUAGACCGUAGUGUAGAAAUUUGGUGUGUUCAACUCCUCAUACACUUUCUGAAUGAAUGGGUUCAAAGUUGCUCAGAUACACAAUCUUUCUUGAAUACAAUUUGCUUCAAACUGUGAAGAUGGUCUGUACUAAAAACUUGGCUAUUUAGAAGAUGGCACAGUAUGUGGGGGUAUCUGUGCACACAAUGCAAGUUUUACAUAGUAGAAUUUAUAGUCAUAUUUGUAUUACAUUCCAUAACAGAUGUAUGUGAUAAAUGAAAGGUUUCAGUUUGACUGUCCUGUUCGUGGUUGAGAUAUUGGUGCAUGCAGCAUGUACAUUGCAAACACUGAUACAGUUAGAACAUUCCUGAUUUCACACUUUGAAUGUGUAUGCAGAAAUGUGUAUAUGUAUGAAAUAUCAGCUUUUUUGUUACAAUGCAAAAAUAGUUCUCAUUUCUCAGACACAUUCUGGGUUGUGAACAGAAAUAUAUUGAAAUUGAGCAAUUUGUUAAACAAAGUUUUAACCACUCUUAAUUUAUUUAGAAUCUUUUAGCCAUAUAUUUGAUGUUUAACUGUUUGAGACAUAUGUAUCAGUUUAACAGGCAUGUUUAAUCUUUGAGAAUAUAAAUCAAUGUUAUUAAAGAUAUUGGUUUGUGUCUUUUAAAAUCCUACUAUAAUAUAUAUACUUUUCAUUGUUUACCUGAUGGGGUACAGUAAUUACAUGAAAAUUUCAUAAGUUUAUAGCAAUAAGGGCUUCUGAAACUGUCGUAUUUAGUUUGCAUAAACAAUAACAUACAUUUGAAGGGCCAUUUAAUGAAUUGCCGUAUUUAGAAGAAGUUGAAAUGUGCCUUGAUGUAAAUGUAAAAUUCCACUGACAAAACUGUUGGAAACAUGUAGGUGAACCAGGUAAAUGAAAUCUGUAUGUUUUGUAUAAGGAUUGAAUCUCAGUAUGGUAACAGUUCUUUACAAUAUGAUAUUUAAUUUUGAUAGCCACUUACUUUCAAUGACAUUUAUGCUGUUAUUUUAUUUUUUUAUAUACCGGUAUAUAUAUUUCUAAGAGUAUUUUUUAUAUGUACAAAAAAGGAAAGACAUAUCACUUUUUUAUCAUUCUAUGAUAAAUUGUCAUCAGAAUAGAAAUCAUGUUUUGCAUUUUGUUUGGAAUGAUGGGAUAAUGGGUGAAUUCUUGUCCAUUCAUAUAGGGAUUUUGUAAUAACUUGGCAUAAAUGUUCAUCAUAAUGAGACGAUGUGUCAUGCGCAAGACCUAGACCCCUAGCUCCAAGGUCAAGGUCACACAUAGAGGUCAAAGGUUAACAUGAUCUGUUUCGUGUCCAGUACUUAACUCUGCCAUCCAUGAAGGGAUUUUGAAUUAACUUGGCAUAAAUGUUUACCAUAAUGAGACCUAGCUCCAAGGUCAGGACUUAGAAAUCAAAGGUUAACAGGGUCUGUUUCAUGUCUGGUUCAUAACUCUGCUAUUCAUCAAGGGAUUUUGAAAUUAUUUGACAUAAAUGUUCCCAAUAAUGAAACAACAUGUCAUGCACAAAUCCCGGAUCCCUAGCUCUAAGGUCAAGGUGAAAAGAAAUGAUUCUUACCUAAACUAUUCUAGCAUAUUUUGCGCAGACAGCUGUAGCAUUCAUGGGUAUGCUUUGGGGGCAUUAGUCAUCAAUAGUGACAGCUCAUGUUAUUUGUAUGUUGAAAUCCAGUAACUGAUAUCUGUGAGUAAUAGCCUAUUUAUGCCCCCAGCAUCUACCGAUGUGGGAGGCAUAUAGUGAUUGUCCUGUCCAUCCAUCUGUCCAUUCGUUCGUUCGUUUGUUCGUCCGUUCGUUUGUCUGUACGAGAUUAACCAAAUGGGACCGUUUCGUCUAGCAUCAAUACCGCUUACAAGAAUGAAUUGAUACUAAUACAGAUGUAACCUGUGACCAUUCCUCAUCUUCAAACAUCACAUGACCUCAGUUUGACCUUGACCUUGACCUCGUUUUGGACUUAGGUUGCUUUGUAUCGACAAGGAUGCCACCGGGGGCAUCAAGCGUUUAUUGAACGCAGCUCCUUGUUUGUUAAUGUUUUUAAAUAAUGCUUUAAGUAGGGGCAAAAAUCACAUUUAGUGAUAGCUGUAUACAGCUGUUCAGUAGAUUUAUGAUAUUCUUGAUAGCUAAACUCUUUGAUCUUGUUUUGUUAAAGUUCUUGUUCACAAAAUGUUUGAUUUUUACUUUAAUAUUAACAAAUGAGUUUAACUGAUACAUAGGAAUGAAACUGUGAUUAAAUCACUAUUAUGUAUUUUGUUCACCUGCUGUGAUAUGUAUGAAUUACGCAGAUUUUAUAACAAUAAAGAUGUAUUUUUGA
Molecule: long non-coding RNA, 3923 nt
Organism: Mercenaria mercenaria
Lineage: Eukaryota; Metazoa; Mollusca; Bivalvia; Venerida; Veneridae
Exons: 2
Source: RefSeq, a predicted model, not a curated record